CCCUAUGGGGUGCAGCCGGAGUUCGAAGCCAGUCUGGAAAUUGUCAAUCAGACGUUUCUGAAUCUCGGCAUUCCGGCCGAACAGUUGAAAACCAUGACGGAGGAAGCGCGCCGGGAGCUAAACAGGCCGUUGUGCAUUUAGGAUUAUUGUAAUAUACACAAGAAUAUUUUUUCCGGGGGUAUCAUGCAGUGAAAGGAAUCAAUCUCAAGUCGGUCGUACGGAAUGUUUUUGGCUUCAUUAAUUUCAGGAAUAUGAUCCGAUUCGCCCUCUGGGGGCUUUGGUUCAGAAGAAACCGGGUCUUCCUGAUCUUUGAAGGGCGUGAAUAUACCUACGGCGAGGUCUAUCGGCAAUCCCUGCGCUAUGCGCACUUUUUCCGGAGUUUCAGAAAGAAACUGGUCGACAGCGGAAAAUUGAGUAGCGAUAAGAGC
RNAcentral lists this ribosomal RNA (428 nucleotides) under uncultured prokaryote. Its description in RNAcentral is "partial 16S ribosomal RNA". The record is from RNAcentral.